GCCGGGAUGACAGAGUGGCCAUGUGGCGGACUGCAGAUCCGCAUACGGGAGUUCAAUUCUCCCUCCCGGCCCCA
Molecule: transfer RNA, 74 nt
Filed under: Euryarchaeota archaeon RBG_19FT_COMBO_56_21
Lineage: Archaea; Methanobacteriati; Methanobacteriota
Also listed under: 1 other name
Description: tRNA-Cys
Rfam family: tRNA
About the family: Transfer RNA (tRNA) molecules are approximately 80 nucleotides in length. Their secondary structure includes four short double-helical elements and three loops (D, anti-codon, and T loops).
Source: RNAcentral